This 141-nucleotide small nuclear RNA is filed under the name Jaculus jaculus (lesser Egyptian jerboa). RNAcentral describes it as "U1 spliceosomal RNA (ENSJJAG00000002162.1)". It matches the Rfam family "U1 spliceosomal RNA". From Rfam's summary of the family: U1 is a small nuclear RNA (snRNA) component of the spliceosome (involved in pre-mRNA splicing). Its 5' end forms complementary base pairs with the 5' splice junction, thus defining the 5' donor site of an intron. There are significant differences in sequence and secondary structure between metazoan and yeast U1 snRNAs, the latter being much longer (568 nucleotides as compared to 164 nucleotides in human). Lineage: Eukaryota; Metazoa; Chordata; Mammalia; Rodentia; Dipodidae. The record is from RNAcentral.
AACCACACCUGGCUUAAAACAGUCAUUUUAAGGGCAAGGCUUAUCCAUUGCACUCUGGAUGUGCUGACUCCUUCAUUUUCCCCAAAUUCAGGAAACUCGACUGCAUUUGUAAUAGUAGGGGACUGUGUUCACUCUCCCCUG